AUCCAACCUGCCGUCUACUCUUGGACAGCCUUCUGAAAGGAAGAUUAAUACAAGAUGGCAUCAUGAGUCCGCAUGUUCACAUGAUUAAAGGUAUUCCGGUAGACGAUGGGGAUGCGUUCCAUUAGAUAGUAGGCGGGGUAACGGCCCACCUAGUCUUCGAUGGAUAGGGGUUCUGAGAGGAAGGUCCCCCACAUUGGAACUGAGACACGGUCCAA
Molecule: ribosomal RNA, 215 nt
Filed under: uncultured bacterium
Lineage: Bacteria
Description: partial 16S ribosomal RNA
Rfam family: Bacterial small subunit ribosomal RNA
Source: RNAcentral